AACGCGAAGAACCUUACCAGGUCUUGACAUCCCGCUGCCCGGUAUAGAGAUAUACCUUUCCCUUCGGGGACAGCGGUGACAGGUGGUGCAUGGUUGUCGUCAGCUCGUGUCGUGAGAUGUUGGGUUAAGUCCCGCAACGAGCGCAACCCUUGAUCUUAGUUGCCAGCAUUCAGUUGGGCACUCUAAGGUGACUGCCGGUGACAAACCGGAGGAAGGUGGGGAUGACGUCAAAUCAUCAUGCCCCUUAUGACCUGGGCUACACACGUGCUACAAUGGACGGUACAAAGGGCUGCGAACCCGCGAGGGGGAGCCAAUCCCAUAAAACCGUUCCCAGUUCGGAUUGCAGGCUGCAACUCGUCUGCAUGAAGCCGGAAUCGCUAGUAAUCGUGGAUCAGCAUGCCACGGUGAAUACGUUCCCGGG
This 421-nucleotide ribosomal RNA is filed under the name uncultured bacterium. Its description in RNAcentral is "bacterial SSU rRNA". It matches the Rfam family "Bacterial small subunit ribosomal RNA", at positions 958 to 1378 of the family's 1533-position model. The record is from RNAcentral.